Molecule: long non-coding RNA, 1152 nt
Filed under: Marmota monax (woodchuck)
Lineage: Eukaryota; Metazoa; Chordata; Mammalia; Rodentia; Sciuridae
Source: RNAcentral
GUUCUUUUUUAUUUAUUUUUUUAAUUCUGAUUUGUUAUAUAUGACAACGGAAUGUAUUACAAUUGAUAUUACAUAUAUAGAGCACAAUUUUUCAUAUCUCUGGUUGUAUACAAAAUAUAUUCACACCAUUUGUGUCUUCAUAUAUGUACUUUGGAUAAUCAUGUCCAUCACAUUCCACCAUCACUUCUAACCCCAUGACCCCUCCCUUCCCCUCUCACCCUUUGCCCUAUCUAGAGUUUGUCUGUUCCUCCCAUGCUCCCCCUCUCUAUCCCACUAUGAAACAGUUUGAUGCAGGUUGUUUUAAUGAAUCAUAAUAAUAGCCAUUAUGUAUCAGGUGGUUAGUAUGUGCCCAAUACUGUUAAAACACUUCAUGAACUAGAUUUCUUUUUAAAGUCGUGUUUGUUGAGAUAUAAUUUAUAUAUGAUACAAUUUACCCUAUUUAGUUUUAUAGUUAGAUGAAUUUUGAUAUCACAAAUGUAAAAAAAUGACAACAUAUGUAUGGAUAUAUAGUACUACCGUGAAGAUACAGAAAAUAUUACCUUGUUCCCUUUUACUUCUUUUUUUAAAAAAACAAAUAGAGAAAUUAAUUUUAAUAUAUUUUUAUUUAACCCAAUGGAUUACCAACAUAAUUUGCAAGGAAAAUAAUUAUUAGUAAGGUAUUUCAUGUUCAUUUUCUUUGUCUUAGUACUUCUUUGGAACCUAAUGUCUAUUUAGCACAUAGCACACCUCAAUUCAGACUAGAUACAUUUCAAAUACUUAGUAGCCUCAUGUAACCAAUGGCUGCUAUAUUGGCUCCUUUCUUCAUCUUUCACCUUUUGGUGAGACAUAUGCUGUAGGCUUCAUGAUAAGUCCCCUUGUUAUGUGGUUUCUUGUUGAGUUCCAUCAGAAAGGGACACCAAAGAGAUGAACUUAGAAUAUACAAAAGUAGAGCAAGGUGUUUUAUUCCUUCCUAUAAGGCUCUAUUAGACUGUGAGUUGGUUUCUACAUGCUUUUGGUGGGAAUAACUUCAGUUAGUUCACCUUCUCCUACAAGUUUUCCAUAAUGGCUCUCUCUUAUUUUACCUCCUACCUCUUCAAGUUUACAGAAGGAAAGGUGCUUCAUAAAAUUUGUUAGUUUCCCUCAACCUUGCCCUUACUUUUAUAAAUACCUUAU